UGCCAUAGCCAUGUCCUCCUGCAGCCCAAGACUGGUUACUCACUGAAGCUAAGCAGGGAUGAGCCUGGUCAGUAUCUGGAUGGGAGACCACAUGGGAAAACUAGGUUGCUGUUGGUGG
This is a ribosomal RNA of Danio rerio (zebrafish), 118 nucleotides long. The record is from Ensembl. Lineage: Eukaryota; Metazoa; Chordata; Actinopteri; Cypriniformes; Danionidae.